CAGGCUUAACACAUGCAAGUCGAGGGGCAGCAUGGUCUUAGCUUGCUAAGGCCGAUGGCGACCGGCGCACGGGUGAGUAACACGUAUCCAACCUGCCGUCUACUCUUGGACAGCCUUCUGAAAGGAAGAUUAAUACAAGAUGGCAUCAUGAGUCCGCAUGUUCACAUGAUUAAAGGUAUUCCGGUAGACGAUGGGGAUGCGUUCCAUUAGAUAGUAGGCGGGGUAACGGCCCACCUAGUCUUCGAUGGAUAGGGGUUCUGAGAGGAAGGUCCCCCACAUUGGAACUGAGACACGGUCCAAACUCCUACGGGAGGCAGCAGUGAGGAAUAUUGGUCAAUGGGCGAGAGCCUGAACCAGCCAAGUAGCGUGAAGGAUGACUGCCCUAUGGGUUGUAAACUUCUUUUAUAAAGGAAUAAAGUCGGGUAUGGAUACCCGUUUGCAUGUACUUUAUGAAUAAGGAUCGGCUAACUCCGUGCCAGCAGCCGCGGUAAUACGGAGGAUCCGAGCGUUAUCCGGAUUUAUUGGGUUUAAAGGGAGCGUAGAUGGAUGUUUAAGUCAGUUGUGAAAGUUUGCGGCUCAACCGUAAAAUUGCAGUUGAUACUGGAUAUCUUGAGUGCAGUUGAGGCAGGCGGAAUUCGUGGUGUAGCGGUGAAAUGCUUAGAUAUCACGAAGAACUCCGAUUGCGAAGGCAGCCUGCUAAGCUGCAACUGACAUUGAGGCUCGAAAGUGUGGGUAUCAAACAGGAUUAGAUACCCUGGUAGUCCACACGGUAAACGAUGAAUACUCGCUGUUUGCGAUAUACUGCAAGCGGCCAAGCGAAAGCGUUAAGUAUUCCACCUGGGGAGUACGCCGGCAACGGUGAAACUCAAAGGAAUUGACGGGGGCCCGCACAAGCGGAGGAACAUGUGGUUUAAUUCGAUGAUACGCGAGGAACCUUACCCGGGCUUAAAUUGCAGAUGAAUUACGGUGAAAGCCGUAAGCCGCAAGGCAUCUGUGAAGGUGCUGCAUGGUUGUCGUCAGCUCGUGCCGUGAGGUGUCGGCUUAAGUGCCAUAACGAGCGCAACCCUUGUUGUCAGUUACUAACAGGUCAUGCUGAGGACUCUGACAAGACUGCCAUCGUAAGAUGUGAGGAAGGUGGGGAUGACGUCAAAUCAGCACGGCCCUUACGUCCGGGGCUACACACGUGUUACAAUGGGGGGUACAGAGGGCCGCUACCACGCGAGUGGAUGCCAAUCCCCAAAACCUCUCUCAGUUCGGACUGGGGUCUGCAACCCGACUCCACGAAGCUGGAUUCGCUAGUAAUCGCGCAUCAGCCACGGCGCGGUGAAUACGUUCCCGGGCCUUGUACACACCGCCCGUCAAGCCAUGGGAGCCGGGGGUACCUGAAGUGCGUAACCGCGAGGAGCGCCCUAGGGUAAAACUGGUGACUGGGGCUAA
This 1437-nucleotide ribosomal RNA is filed under the name uncultured organism. Its description in RNAcentral is "16S ribosomal RNA". It matches the Rfam family "Bacterial small subunit ribosomal RNA". The record is from RNAcentral.